RNAcentral lists this ribosomal RNA (404 nucleotides) under uncultured bacterium. RNAcentral's name for it is "bacterial SSU rRNA". It matches the Rfam family "Bacterial small subunit ribosomal RNA", at positions 356 to 775 of the family's 1533-position model. The record is from RNAcentral.
GGGGAAUAUUGGGCAAUGGGCGCAAGCCUGACCCAGCAACGCCGCGUGAGGGAAGAAGGCUUUCGGGUUGUAAACCUCUGUCCUUGGGGACGAAAAAAUGACGGUACCCAAGGAGGAAGCUCCGGCUAACUACGUGCCAGCAGCCGCGGUAAUACGUAGGGAGCGAGCGUUGUCCGGAAUUACUGGGCGUAAAGGGUGCGUAGGCGGCAAGGCAAGUCAGAUGUGAAAUUCCCGGGCUUAACUCGGGGGGUGCAUUUGAAACUGCUUUGCUUGAGUGCAGGAGAGGAAAGCGGAAUUCCUAGUGUAGCGGUGAAAUGCGUAGAUAUUAGGAGGAACACCAGUGGCGAAGGCGGCUUUCUGGACUGUAACUGACGCUGAGGCACGAAAGCGUGGGGAGCAAACAG